AUUGAACGCUGGCGGCAGGCCUAACACAUGCAAGUCGAGCGGAUGAAGGGAGCUUGCUCCUGGAUUCAGCGGCGGACGGGUGAGUAAUGCCUAGGAAUCUGCCUGGUAGUGGGGGAUAACGUCCGGAAACGGGCGCUAAUACCGCAUACGCCCUGAGGGAGAAAGUGGGGGAUCUUCGGACCUCACGCUAUCAGAUGAGCCUAGGUCGGAUUAGCUAGUUGGUGGGGUAAAGGCCUACCAAGGCGACGAUCCGUAACUGGUCUGAGAGGAUGAUCAGUCACACUGGAGCUGAGACACGGUCCAGACUCCUACGGGAGGCAGCAGUGGGGAAUAUUGGACAAUGGGCGAAAGCCUGAUCCAGCCAUGCCGCGUGUGUGAAGGAGGUCUUCGGAUUGUAAAGCACUUUAAGUUGGGAGGAAGGGCAGUAAGUUAAUACCUUGCUGUUUUGACGUUACCAACAGAAUAAGCACCGGCUAACUUCGUG
Molecule: ribosomal RNA, 484 nt
Filed under: uncultured bacterium
Lineage: Bacteria
Description: partial 16S ribosomal RNA
Rfam family: Bacterial small subunit ribosomal RNA
Source: RNAcentral